Molecule: ribosomal RNA, 253 nt
Filed under: uncultured bacterium
Lineage: Bacteria
Description: partial 16S ribosomal RNA
Rfam family: Bacterial small subunit ribosomal RNA
Source: RNAcentral
UACGGGGGGGGUAAGCGUUGUUCGGAAUUACUGGGCGUAAAGGGCUCGUAGGCGGCCAACUAAGUCAGACGUGAAAUCCCUCAGCUUAACUGGGGAACUGCGUCUGAUACUGGAUGGCUUGGAUUCGGGAGAGGAAUGCGGAAUUCCAGGUGUAGCGGUGAAAUGCGUAGAUAUCUGGAGGAACACCUGCGGCGAAGGCGGGUUGCUGGGCUGACACUGACGCUGAUGCGCGAAAGCGUGGGUAGCAAACAGG